GACGAACGCUGGCGGCGUGCUUAACACAUGCAAGUCGAACGGAAAGGCCCUUCGGGGUCCUCGAGUGGCGAACGGGUGAGUAACACGUGGGUGAUCUGCCCUGCACUUUGGGAUAAGCCUGGGAAACUGGGUCUAAUACCGAAUAGGACCACGCGCUUCAUGGUGUGUGGUGGCAAGCUUUUGCGGUGUGCGAUGGGCCCGCGGCCUAUCAGCUUGUUGGUGGGGUAAUGGCCUACCAAGGCGACGACGGGUAGCCGGCCUGAGAGGGUGACCGGCCACACUGGGACUGAGAUACGGCCCAGACUCCUACGGGAGGCAGCAGUGGGGAAUAUUGCACAAUGGGCGCAAGCCUGAUGCAGCGACGCCGCGUGAGGGAUGACGGCCUUCGGGUUGUAAACCUCUUUCACCAGGGACGAAGCGUAAGUGACGGUACCUGGAGAAGAAGCACCGGCCAACUACGUG
Molecule: ribosomal RNA, 462 nt
Filed under: uncultured bacterium
Lineage: Bacteria
Description: partial 16S ribosomal RNA
Rfam family: Bacterial small subunit ribosomal RNA
Source: RNAcentral